RNAcentral lists this ribosomal RNA (548 nucleotides) under uncultured bacterium. RNAcentral describes it as "bacterial SSU rRNA". It matches the Rfam family "Bacterial small subunit ribosomal RNA", at positions 355 to 896 of the family's 1533-position model. The record is from RNAcentral.
UAGGGAAUCUUCCGCAAUGGGCGAAAGCCUGACGGAGCAACGCCGCGUGAGUGAAGAAGGAUUUCGGUUCGUAAAGCUCUGUUGUUAGGGAAGAAUGAUUGUGUAGUAACUAUACACAGUAGAGACGGUACCUAACCAGAAAGCCACGGCUAACUACGUGCCAGCAGCCGCGGUAAUACGUAGGUGGCAAGCGUUGUCCGGAAUUAUUGGGCGUAAAGCGCGCGCAGGUGGUUUAAUAAGUCUGAUGUGAAAGCCCACGGCUCAACCGUGGAGGGUCAUUGGAAACUGUUAAACUUGAGUGCAGGAGAGAAAAGUGGAAUUCCUAGUGUAGCGGUGAAAUGCGUAGAGAUUAGGAGGAACACCAGUGGCGAAGGCGGCUUUUUGGCCUGUAACUGACACUGAGGCGCGAAAGCGUGGGGAGCAAACAGGAUUAGAUACCCUGGUAGUCCACGCCGUAAACGAUGAGUGCUAAGUGUUGGUCUCAUAAGAGAUCAGUGCUGCAGCUAACGCAUUAAGCACUCCGCCUGGGAGGUACGACCGCAAGGUUG